GGGAAUAUUGCGCAAUGGGCGAAAGCCUGACGCAGCGACGCCGCGUGGGUGAUGAAGGCCUUCGGGUCGUAAAGCCCUGUCGGGAGAGACGAAAACUCGACGACCCAAUACGUCGUCGACCUGCCGGUAUCUCCUAAGGAAGCACCGGCUAACUCCGUGCCAGCAGCCGCGGUAAUACGGAGGGUGCGAGCGUUGGUCGGAAUUACUGGGCGUAAAGCGCGUGUAGGCGGCUUCUUAAGUUCGGUGUGAAAGCCCGGGGCUCACCCCCGGAAGUGCACUGGAUACUGAGAAGCUUGAGUACCGGAGAGGAGGGUGGAAUUCCUGGUGUAGCGGUGAAAUGCGUAGAUAUCAGGAGGAACACCGGUGGCGAAGGCGGCCCUCUGGACGGCUACUGACGCUGAGACGCGAAAGCGUGGGGAGCAAAC
This 425-nucleotide ribosomal RNA is filed under the name uncultured bacterium. RNAcentral's name for it is "bacterial SSU rRNA". It matches the Rfam family "Bacterial small subunit ribosomal RNA", at positions 357 to 773 of the family's 1533-position model. The record is from RNAcentral.